GCACAGUAAACGAUGAAUACUUGUUCUCGGCGAUACACAGUCGGGGGCAAAGCGAAAGCGAUAAGUAUUCCACCUGGGGAGUACGCCGGCAACGGUGAAACUCAAAGGAAUUGACGGGGGCCCGCACAAGCGGAGGAACAUGUGGUUUAAUUCGAUGCUACGCGAGGAACCUUACCCGGGCUUGAAAGUUAGCGACGGAGAUGGAAACAUCUCUUCCCUUCGGGGCGCGAAACUAGGUGCUGCAUGGUUGUCGUCAGCUCGUGCCGUGAGGUGUCGGCUUAAGUGCCAUAACGAGCGCAACCCUUUUCAAUAGUUGCCAUCAUUAGGUUGGGGACUCUAUUGACACUGCCAUCGUAAGAUGUGAGGAAGGAUGGGAUGACGUCAAAUCAGCACGGCCCUUACGUCCGGGGCGACACACGUGUUACAAUGGUGGGGACAGAGAGCUGCGACCUGGUGACAGGGAGCGAAUCUACAAACCCCAUCCCAGUUCGGAUCGGAGUCUGCAACCCGACUCCGUGAAGCUGGAUUCGCUAGUAAUCGCGCAUCAGCCAUGGCGCGGUGAAUACGUUCCCGGGCCUUGUACACACCGCCCGUCAAGCCAUGAAAGCCGAGGGUACCUGAAGUCUGGGGUAAGAUCCGGCCUAGGGUAAAAUUGGUAAUUGGGGCU
Molecule: ribosomal RNA, 667 nt
Filed under: uncultured equine intestinal eubacterium sp. CL01
Lineage: Bacteria
Description: bacterial SSU rRNA
Rfam family: Bacterial small subunit ribosomal RNA
Source: RNAcentral